Molecule: ribosomal RNA, 774 nt
Filed under: uncultured Neocallimastigales
Lineage: Eukaryota; Fungi; Neocallimastigomycota; Neocallimastigomycetes; Neocallimastigales
Description: partial large subunit ribosomal RNA
Rfam family: Eukaryotic large subunit ribosomal RNA
Source: RNAcentral
UAUGUGAUCGUCUCUCGCAUAUCAAUAAGCGGAGGAAAAGAAACUAACAAGGAUUCCCCUAGUAACGGCGAGUGAAGCGGGAAGAGCUCAAAUUUGAAAUCUUAAAGGGUUUCCCUUUACGAAUUGUAGUUUAAAGAAGUGUUUUCUGUUGAGGUUUUGGUAAAAGUUCUUUGGAAUAGGACAUCAUAGAGGGUGAGAAUCCCGUAUUUGACCUUUACUUUCAACUUUGUGAUACACUUUCAAAGAGUCGGAUUGUUUGGGAAUGCAGUCCAAAAUGGGUGGUAAAUUUCAUCUAAAGCUAAAUAUUGGCGAGAGACCGAUAGCGAACAAGUACCGUGAGGGAAAGAUGAAAAGAACUUUGAAAAGAGAGUUAAACAGUACGUGAAAUUGUCAAAAGGGAAGCGUUUGACACCAGUGUUGUUUUUCUGAAAAUCAAUUAAAGGACUGUUUAUGCUAAGCUGUUUAGACUUUAUCAGCUAACUGUUUAGUUUUGAGCUUUUCUUUAAUGCACUUUUCAGUUAACAAGUCAACAUCAAUUUCUUUUGCUGUAAAAAAGCUUGAGGAAGGUGGCUUGAGAUUCGUCUUAAGUGUUUAUAGCCUCUUGCCUAUGCAGUCGGAGAGAUUGAGGUCUGCAGCGUAGAUCCUUCGGGGCUAAAUGCAUUUGUGCUAAGUUAUAGCAUUUUACAGACAACUUGUUGACUAUGAUUUGUCUUGUAGCUUACUCGCUUAUGUUAUUUUACCUACGCUUAGGAUGUUGAACGCGCACAGAGUCUC